GCAGGCAUCUUAUAAUGGUAUUAUCUUAGCCUUCCAAGCUAAUAAUGCGGGUUCAAUUCCCGCUGCCUGCU
This 71-nucleotide transfer RNA is filed under the name Enterobacteriaceae endosymbiont of Plateumaris rustica. RNAcentral's name for it is "tRNA-Gly". It matches the Rfam family "tRNA". From Rfam's summary of the family: Transfer RNA (tRNA) molecules are approximately 80 nucleotides in length. Lineage: Bacteria; Pseudomonadati; Pseudomonadota; Gammaproteobacteria; Enterobacterales; Enterobacteriaceae. The record is from RNAcentral.